UCGAGAAUUUUUCUCAAUGGGGGAAACCCUGAAGGAGCGACGCCGCGUGGAGGAUGAAGGUCUUCGGAUUGUAAACUCCUGUCAUUGGUGAACAAGACAUUGCCGUUAACUGCGGUGGUGUUUGAUAGUAGCCGAAGAGGAAGGGACGGCUAACUCUGUGCCAGCAGCCGCGGUAAUACAGAGGUCCCGAGCGUUGUUCGGAUUCAUUGGGCGUAAAGGGUGCGUAGGCGGCGGGGGAAGUCUGAUGUGAAAUCCUGGGGCUCAACCCUGGAACUGCAUUGGAUACUCCCUUGCUAGAGUACUGGAGAGGAAACUGGAAUUUACGGUGUAGCAGUGAAAUGCGUAGAGAUCGUAAGGAAGACCAGUGGCGAAGGCGAGUUUCUGGACAGUUACUGACGCUGAGGCACGAAGGCCAGGGGAGCAAACGG
Molecule: ribosomal RNA, 428 nt
Filed under: uncultured bacterium
Lineage: Bacteria
Description: bacterial SSU rRNA
Rfam family: Bacterial small subunit ribosomal RNA
Source: RNAcentral